RNAcentral lists this transfer RNA (71 nucleotides) under Chaeturichthys stigmatias (finespot goby). RNAcentral describes it as "tRNA-Asp". It matches the Rfam family "tRNA". Rfam says of the family: Transfer RNA (tRNA) molecules are approximately 80 nucleotides in length. Their secondary structure includes four short double-helical elements and three loops (D, anti-codon, and T loops). The record is from RNAcentral. Lineage: Eukaryota; Metazoa; Chordata; Actinopteri; Gobiiformes; Gobiidae.
AAGAUACUAGUAUAGUAGUAAUACACUGCCUUGUCAAGGCAAAGUCGUGGGUUAAACCCCCACGUAUCUUG